GGGUUGUGAGGUUAAGCGACUAAGCGUACACGGUGGAUGCCCUGGCAGUCAGAGGCGAUGAAGGACGUGCUAAUCUGCGAUAAGCGUCGGUAAGGUGAUAUGAACCGUUAUAACCGGCGAUUUCCGAAUGGGGAAACCCAGUGUGUUUCGACACACUAUCAUUAACUGAAUCCAUAGGUUAAUGAGGCGAACCGGGGGAACUGAAACAUCUAAGUACCCCGAGGAAAAGAAAUCAACCGAGAUUCCCCCAGUAGCGGCGAGCGAACGGGGAGCAGCCCAGAGCCUGAAUCAGUGUGUGUGUUAGUGGAAGCGUCUGGAAAGGCGCGCGAUACAGGGUGACAGCCCCGUACACAAAAAUGCACAUGCUGUGAGCUCGAUGAGUAGGGCGGGACACGUGGUAUCCUGUCUGAAUAUGGGGGGACCAUCCUCCAAGGCUAAAUACUCCUGACUGACCGAUAGUGAACCAGUACCGUGAGGGAAAGGCGAAAAGAACCCCGGCGAGGGGAGUGAAAAAGAACCUGAAACCGUGUACGUACAAGCAGUGGGAGCACGCUUAGGCGUGUGACUGCGUACCUUUUGUAUAAUGGGUCAGCGACUUAUAUUCUGUAGCAAGGUUAACCGAAUAGGGGAGCCGAAGGGAAACCGAGUCUUAACUGGGCGUUAAGUUGCAGGGUAUAGACCCGAAACCCGGUGAUCUAGCCAUGGGCAGGUUGAAGGUUGGGUAACACUAACUGGAGGACCGAACCGACUAAUGUUGAAAAAUUAGCGGAUGACUUGUGGCUGGGGGUGAAAGGCCAAUCAAACCGGGAGAUAGCUGGUUCUCCCCGAAAGCUAUUUAGGUAGCGCCUCGUGAAUUCAUCUCCGGGGGUAGAGCACUGUUUCGGCAAGGGGGUCAUCCCGACUUACCAACCCGAUGCAAACUGCGAAUACCGGAGAAUGUUAUCACGGGAGACACACGGCGGGUGCUAACGUCCGUCGUGAAGAGGGAAACAACCCAGACCGCCAGCUAAGGUCCCAAAGUCAUGGUUAAGUGGGAAACGAUGUGGGAAGGCCCAGACAGCCAGGAUGUUGGCUUAGAAGCAGCCAUCAUUUAAAGAAAGCGUAAUAGCUCACUGGUCGAGUCGGCCUGCGCGGAAGAUGUAACGGGGCUAAACCAUGCACCGAAGCUGCGGCAGCGACGCUUAUGCGUUGUUGGGUAGGGGAGCGUUCUGUAAGCCUGUGAAGGUGUGCUGUGAGGCAUGCUGGAGGUAUCAGAAGUGCGAAUGCUGACAUAAGUAACGAUAAAGCGGGUGAAAAGCCCGCUCGCCGGAAGACCAAGGGUUCCUGUCCAACGUUAAUCGGGGCAGGGUGAGUCGACCCCUAAGGCGAGGCCGAAAGGCGUAGUCGAUGGGAAACAGGUUAAUAUUCCUGUACUUGGUGUUACUGCGAAGGGGGGACGGAGAAGGCUAUGUUGGCCGGGCGACGGUUGUCCCGGUUUAAGCGUGUAGGCUGGUUUUCCAGGCAAAUCCGGAAAAUCAAGGCUGAGGCGUGAUGACGAGGCACUACGGUGCUGAAGCAACAAAUGCCCUGCUUCCAGGAAAAGCCUCUAAGCAUCAGGUAACAUCAAAUCGUACCCCAAACCGACACAGGUGGUCAGGUAGAGAAUACCAAGGCGCUUGAGAGAACUCGGGUGAAGGAACUAGGCAAAAUGGUGCCGUAACUUCGGGAGAAGGCACGCUGAUAUGUAGGUGAAGUCCCUCGCGGAUGGAGCUGAAAUCAGUCGAAGAUACCAGCUGGCUGCAACUGUUUAUUAAAAACACAGCACUGUGCAAACACGAAAGUGGACGUAUACGGUGUGACGCCUGCCCGGUGCCGGAAGGUUAAUUGAUGGGGUUAGCGCAAGCGAAGCUCCUGAUCGAAGCCCCGGUAAACGGCGGCCGUAACUAUAACGGUCCUAAGGUAGCGAAAUUCCUUGUCGGGUAAGUUCCGACCUGCACGAAUGGCGUAAUGAUGGCCAGGCUGUCUCCACCCGAGACUCAGUGAAAUUGAACUCGCUGUGAAGAUGCAGUGUACCCGCGGCAAGACGGAAAGACCCCGUGAACCUUUACUAUAGCUUGACACUGAACAUUGAGCCUUGAUGUGUAGGAUAGGUGGGAGGCUUUGAAGUGUGGACGCCAGUCUGCAUGGAGCCGACCUUGAAAUACCACCCUUUAAUGUUUGAUGUUCUAACGUUGACCCGUAAUCCGGGUUGCGGACAGUGUCUGGUGGGUAGUUUGACUGGGGCGGUCUCCUCCUAAAGAGUAACGGAGGAGCACGAAGGUUGGCUAAUCCUGGUCGGACAUCAGGAGGUUAGUGCAAUGGCAUAAGCCAGCUUGACUGCGAGCGUGACGGCGCGAGCAGGUGCGAAAGCAGGUCAUAGUGAUCCGGUGGUUCUGAAUGGAAGGGCCAUCGCUCAACGGAUAAAAGGUACUCCGGGGAUAACAGGCUGAUACCGCCCAAGAGUUCAUAUCGACGGCGGUGUUUGGCACCUCGAUGUCGGCUCAUCACAUCCUGGGGCUGAAGUAGGUCCCAAGGGUAUGGCUGUUCGCCAUUUAAAGUGGUACGCGAGCUGGGUUUAGAACGUCGUGAGACAGUUCGGUCCCUAUCUGCCGUGGGCGCUGGAGAACUGAGGGGGGCUGCUCCUAGUACGAGAGGACCGGAGUGGACGCAUCACUGGUGUUCGGGUUGUCAUGCCAAUGGCACUGCCCGGUAGCUAAAUGCGGAAGAGAUAAGUGCUGAAAGCAUCUAAGCACGAAACUUGCCCCGAGAUGAGUUCUCCCUGACUCCUUGAGAGUCCUGAAGGAACGUUGAAGACGACGACGUUGAUAGGCCGGGUGUGUAAGCGCAGCGAUGCGUUGAGCUAACCGGUACUAAUGAACCGUGAGGCUUAACCUUACAACGCCGAAGGUGUUU
This 2931-nucleotide ribosomal RNA is filed under the name Escherichia coli. Its description in RNAcentral is "23S ribosomal RNA". It matches the Rfam family "Bacterial large subunit ribosomal RNA". The record is from RNAcentral. Lineage: Bacteria; Pseudomonadati; Pseudomonadota; Gammaproteobacteria; Enterobacterales; Enterobacteriaceae.